This 763-nucleotide ribosomal RNA is filed under the name Sarcocystis sp. Its description in RNAcentral is "SSU rRNA". It matches the Rfam family "Eukaryotic small subunit ribosomal RNA", at positions 169 to 925 of the family's 1831-position model. Lineage: Eukaryota; Apicomplexa; Conoidasida; Eucoccidiorida; Sarcocystidae. The record is from RNAcentral.
ACAUGCGCACAUGCCUCUUCCCUCGUGGAAGGGUAGUGUUUAUUAGAUACAGAACCAACCCACCUUCGGGUGGUCCUCAGGUGAUUCAUAGUAACCGAACGGAUCGCAUUAUGGCCUUUUGGUCGGCGAUGGAUCAUUCAAGUUUCUGACCUAUCAGCUUUCGACGGUACUGUAUUGGACUACCGUGGCAGUGACGGGUAACGGGGAAUUAGGGUUCGAUUCCGGAGAGGGAGCCUGAGAAACGGCUACCACAUCUAAGGAAGGCAGCAGGCGCGCAAAUUACCCAAUCCUGACUCAGGGAGGUAGUGACAAGAAAUAACAACACUGGAAAUUAUAUUUCUAGUGAUUGGAAUGAUGGGAAUCCAAACCCCUUUCAGAGUAACAAUUGGAGGGCAAGUCUGGUGCCAGCAGCCGCGGUAAUUCCAGCUCCAAUAGCGUAUAUUAAAGUUGUUGCAGUUAAAAAGCUCGUAGUUGGAUAUCUGCUGGAAGCAGCCAGUCCGCCCUUUGUGGGUGUGCACUUGGUGAAUUCUGGCAUCCUCCUGAUUGGUGUUAUCAUCACUUCAUUGUGUUGAUGGCAGCUGUCAGGACCGUUACUUUGAGAAAAUUAGAGUGUUUCAAGCAGGCUUGUUGCCUUGAAUACUGCAGCAUGGAAUAACAAGAUAGGAUUUCGGUUCUAUUUUGUUGGUUUCUAGGACUGAAGUAAUGAUUAAUAGGGACAGUUGGGGGCAUUCGUAUUUAACUGUCAGAGGUGAAAUUCUUAGAU